This 253-nucleotide ribosomal RNA is filed under the name uncultured bacterium. Its description in RNAcentral is "partial 16S ribosomal RNA". It matches the Rfam family "Bacterial small subunit ribosomal RNA", at positions 524 to 776 of the family's 1533-position model. The record is from RNAcentral.
GACGAACCGUGCAAACGUUGUUCGGAAUCACUGGGCUUAAAGGGCGCGUAGGCGGGUUCCCAAGUCGGUGGUGAAAUCUUUCGGCCCAACCGGAAAAGGGCCGCCGAUACUGGGAGUCUCGAGGGAGGUAGGGGUCGAUGGAACUUCCGGUGGAGCGGUGAAAUGCGUAGAUAUCUGGAGGAACACCGGUGGCGAAGGCGGCAUCCUGGACCGGCAUUGACGCUGAGGCGCGAAAGCCAGGGGAGCAAACGGG